This 436-nucleotide ribosomal RNA is filed under the name uncultured bacterium. Its description in RNAcentral is "partial 16S ribosomal RNA". It matches the Rfam family "Bacterial small subunit ribosomal RNA", at positions 29 to 506 of the family's 1533-position model. The record is from RNAcentral.
AGCGAACGCUGGCGGCAGGCUUAACACAUGCAAGUCGAGCGGGCAUCCUUGUGGUGUCAGCGGCAGACGGGUGAGUAACGCGUGGGAACGUGCCCUUCGGUUCGGAAUAACUCAGGGAAACUUGAGCUAAUACCGGAUACGUGCGAGAGCAGAAAGGUUUAUCUGCCGAAGGAUCGGCCCGCUUCUGAUUAGCUAGUUGGUGAGGUUACGGCUCACCAAGGCGACGAUCAGUAGCUGGUCUGAGAGGAUGAUCAGCCACACUGGGACUGAGACACGGCCCAGACUCCUACGGGAGGCAGCAGUGCGGAAUAUUGGACAAUGGGGGCAACACUGAUCCAGCCAGGCCGCGUGAGUGAUGACGGGCUUAGGGUUGUAAAGCUCUUUUCUCCGGGACGAUAAUGACGGUACCGGAGGAAUAAGCCCCGGCUAACUUCGU